RNAcentral lists this ribosomal RNA (167 nucleotides) under uncultured bacterium. RNAcentral describes it as "partial 16S rRNA". It matches the Rfam family "Bacterial small subunit ribosomal RNA", at positions 352 to 511 of the family's 1533-position model. The record is from RNAcentral.
UGGGGGAAGUAUUUGGACAAUGGGCGAAAGCCUGAUCCAGCCAUGCCGCGUGUGUGAAGAAGGUCUUCGGAUUGUAAAGCACUUUAAGUUGGGAGGAAGGGCAGUAAGCUAAUACCUUGCUGUUUUGACGUUACCGACAGAAUAAGCACCGGCUAACUCUGUGCCAG